RNAcentral lists this long non-coding RNA (1045 nucleotides) under Anser brachyrhynchus (Pink-footed goose). RNAcentral's name for it is "lncRNA (ENSABRG00000005128.1)". Lineage: Eukaryota; Metazoa; Chordata; Aves; Anseriformes; Anatidae. The record is from RNAcentral.
CCCUAAUUGCAACUUGGUAUUUAAGUUCAUUGUAAAGGCUGUUUGCUCGUGGGUUAGGAUAUCUGCCUGCUGAAGCCUUGGGGAAUGGAGUGGCAGGAGCACAGUGGAGCUUUUUGUUAUGAUUUAAAAGAACUGCUGGAGCAAACUAGACAAUGUGGGGCUCGGGAUCCCAGCUCGGUGAAGCUGACUGGGAAGGAGGUUGGGAUCCACCUGGGUGCUUGCAUGUGCAAGCAGAAGCAGGUUUUUGGAAGCACUCUGGUAUCAUGGAGCUCCAUGAGAUGCAACAGGAGAGGCAAAAGGAAUGGAAAAGCCAUUUGAGACUGCUCCUGGCAGCACUGCAGGAUCUGCAAAGCCACAGGAAAGUCGGGAGGGUACUGAAGGAGGAGCAGCCUGCGCAGGAACCGCAGCAGUGGGAAGCACAGGCUGGCAGCGACAGCAUCCGGGGAGGUCUCUGUGCUAUGAGGAGAGCAGCAGGGAUGAAAUGCACUAACCCUUCUCAAGGAUGGCUGCUGGGUAUCCUGGAGGGCUAUGUUGGAGCAGGCUGCUGCACACUGAGGUCUGUCUGUACCUCGGUGGAUCCCUCACCAGCCCUUCAAGUCAGACAAGAUCUGCAGCAAAGUCCUAAUGGCUACACUCAGGCUUUCUCCAGCAUAAUUUGCCAGUGUCUAAACGUAUGUAAAAUAAGUUCUGAUGACACCUUUCCUUAUGAAUUAGCAGGUCUUGCUGACACAAAUCAGGAACUCAAUACAAUAUUCAGCAAGCACAUUAAAUCUCCUUCUAACAUGCUGCAUGCUGAGACACUCUUCGUUAUUACCUUAAAGUACCAGAAGCUGGAAAAAUGCCAGCUUCUCCCCUCUGAUGGCAACAACAAUGACAUAGACAGAAAUAAUUAGCUCUCUGCUACUCAGCUGGUGUGGAUGCUGCUGCUCUUCAAAGCACGUUUCUCUCCCUUUAGCUGCUAUGCAGAAAUCCUUGAUAAUUAAUCAGCUCUUGGUGACACUGAAACACUAAUAAAUCCUCAAGAGUUGCAUUUAAUGUGUUGUGC